UACGUAGGGCGCAAGCGUUGUCCGGAAUUAUUGGGCGUAAAGAGCUCGUAGGCGGUCUGUCACGUCUGCCGUGAAAACCCGAGGCUUAACCUCGUGGCUUGCGGUGGAUACGGGCAGACUAGAGGUAGGUAGGGGAGAACGGAAUUCCCGGUGUAGCGGUGAAAUGCGCAGAUAUCGGGAGGAACACCGGUGGCGAAGGCGGUUCUCUGGGCCUUACCUGACGCUGAGGAGCGAAAGUGUGGGGAGCGAACAGG
RNAcentral lists this ribosomal RNA (254 nucleotides) under uncultured bacterium. RNAcentral's name for it is "partial 16S ribosomal RNA". It matches the Rfam family "Bacterial small subunit ribosomal RNA", at positions 524 to 776 of the family's 1533-position model. The record is from RNAcentral.